Molecule: ribosomal RNA, 433 nt
Filed under: Barusia sp. 2 HZ-2020
Lineage: Eukaryota; Metazoa; Arthropoda; Arachnida; Araneae; Leptonetidae
Also listed under: 1 other name
Description: partial large subunit ribosomal RNA
Rfam family: Eukaryotic large subunit ribosomal RNA
Source: RNAcentral
GUCCAAAGCCCUGCGCAGGUUCUCCCCGAUCGGGGCCGGGGGGCGCGGGGGGAGGCGGCCUGCGGUGAGUAGGUCGGUAACCCACCCGACCCGUCUUGAAACACGGACCAAGGAGUGCGACGCGUGCGCGAGUCGUCGGGUCUUGCACAGGCCCGCGGGCGCAAGUAACUUUCGCCCGGGAUGCCCGGGACGCACCGGGGGCCCGGUCGGAGUCUGAGCGCACGCGUUGCGACCCGAAAGGUGGUGAGCUAUGCUUGGGCAGGUCGAAGCCAGAGGAAACUCUGGUGGAGGACCGUAGCGGUUCUGACGUGCAAAUCGAUCGUCGGACUCGAGUAUAGGGGCGAUAGACCAAUCGAACCACCUAGUAGCUGGUUCCCUCCGAAGUUUCCCUCAGGAUAGCUGGCGUCGGAGCAUUCGUUCCUGGUAAAGCGAA